GAUGAACGCUGGCGGCGUGCCUAAUACAUGCAAGUCGAGCGAACACACGAGAAGCGUGCUCCUCUAACGUUAGCGGCGGGCGGACGGGUGAGAGGUGGAUAACAUACAUAUAAUACUUGGAUAACUUCGUGAAACCUGAGCCACUAACGGAACAUAUAUGGAACCGCAUGGUUCAAUAGUGAAACAGAGCUUUGAUGUCACUUAUAGAUGGAUCCGCGCCUGAUUAGCUAGUUGGUAAGGGAACGGCCUACCAAGGCAACGAUGCGUAGCCGACAUGAGAGGAUGAACAGCCACACUGGAACUGCGACACGGUCCAGACUCCUACGGGAGGCAGCAGUAGGGAAUCUUCCGCAAUGGGCGAAAGCUUGACGGAGCCACACCGCGUGAGUGACGAAGGUCUUCGGAUCGUAAACCUCUGUUGUUGGGAAAGAAAAAAUGCGUAAGAAACUACCCGCGUCUUGACGGUACCGAAACAGAAAGCCCCGGCUAACUUCGUG
Molecule: ribosomal RNA, 497 nt
Filed under: uncultured bacterium
Lineage: Bacteria
Description: partial 16S ribosomal RNA
Rfam family: Bacterial small subunit ribosomal RNA
Source: RNAcentral